AACGUAGGGUGCAAGCGUUGUCCGGAAUUAUUGGGCGUAAAGAGCUCGUAGGCGGUUCGUCGCGUCGGCUGUGAAAUCCCGAGGCUCAACCUCGGGUCUGCAGUCGAUACGGGCGGACUGGAGUACUGCAGGGGAGACUGGAAUUCCUGGUGUAGCGGUGAAAUGCGCAGAUAUCAGGAGGAACACCGGUGGCGAAGGCGGGUCUCUGGGCAGUUACUGACGCUGAGGAGCGAAAGCGUGGGGAGCGAACAGG
This 253-nucleotide ribosomal RNA is filed under the name uncultured bacterium. RNAcentral describes it as "partial 16S ribosomal RNA". It matches the Rfam family "Bacterial small subunit ribosomal RNA", at positions 524 to 776 of the family's 1533-position model. The record is from RNAcentral.